AUCGCUUCUCGGCCUUUUGGCUCAGAUCAAGUGUAGUAUCUGUUCUUAUCAGUUUAAUAUCUGAUACGUCCCCCAUCGGGGGACUACAUAUUAAAUGGAUUUUUCGAACAGGGAGUCGGAAAUGGGGCUUGCUCCGUCCGCUCCACGCAUCGACCCGGUAUUGCAGUACCUCCGGGAGCGGUGCAACACUU
This 191-nucleotide small nuclear RNA is filed under the name Salmo salar (Atlantic salmon). RNAcentral's name for it is "U2 spliceosomal RNA (ENSSSAG00000099850.1)". It matches the Rfam family "U2 spliceosomal RNA". From Rfam's summary of the family: U2 is a small nuclear RNA (snRNA) component of the spliceosome (involved in pre-mRNA splicing). The record is from RNAcentral. Lineage: Eukaryota; Metazoa; Chordata; Actinopteri; Salmoniformes; Salmonidae.